UACGUAGGGGGCAAGCGUUAUCCGGAUUUACUGGGUGUAAAGGGAGCGUAGACGGCGAUGCAAGUCUGAAGUGAAAGGCGGGGGCCCAACCCCCGGACUGCUUUGGAAACUGUAUGGCUGGAGUGCAGGAGAGGUAAGUGGAAUUCCUAGUGUAGCGGUGAAAUGCGUAGAUAUUAGGAGGAACACCAGUGGCGAAAGCGGCUCUCUGGCCUGUAACUGACACUGAGGCUCGAAAGCGUGGGGAGCAAACAGG
This 253-nucleotide ribosomal RNA is filed under the name uncultured bacterium. RNAcentral's name for it is "partial 16S ribosomal RNA". It matches the Rfam family "Bacterial small subunit ribosomal RNA", at positions 524 to 776 of the family's 1533-position model. The record is from RNAcentral.